RNAcentral lists this ribosomal RNA (780 nucleotides) under uncultured Neocallimastigales. RNAcentral's name for it is "partial large subunit ribosomal RNA". It matches the Rfam family "Eukaryotic large subunit ribosomal RNA", at positions 19 to 629 of the family's 3401-position model. The record is from RNAcentral. Lineage: Eukaryota; Fungi; Neocallimastigomycota; Neocallimastigomycetes; Neocallimastigales.
CGAGCACGCGCGUGUGGCAUAUCAAUAAGCGGAGGAAAAGAAACUAACAAGGAUUCCCCUAGUAACGGCGAGUGAAGCGGGAAGAGCUCAAAUUUGAAAUCUUAAAGGGUUUCCCUUUACGAAUUGUAGUUUAAAGAAGUGUUUUCUGUUGGAGUUUCGGUAAAAGUUCUUUGGAAUAGGACAUCAUAGAGGGUGAGAAUCCCGUAUUUGACCGUUACUUUCCAGCUUUGUGAUACACUUUCAAAGAGUCGGAUUGUUUGGGAAUGCAGUCCAAAAUGGGUGGUAAAUUUCAUCUAAAGCUAAAUAUUGGCGAGAGACCGAUAGCGAACAAGUACCGUGAGGGAAAGAUGAAAAGAACUUUGAAAAGAGAGUUAAACAGUACGUGAAAUUGUCAAAAGGGAAGCGUUUGACACCAGUGUUGUUUAGUUGAAAAUCAAUUAAAUAAUUUGUGAUUUUGAGUAGUAUUGACUUUAUCAGCUUGCUGCUUUCUUUUUCAUAAAUUAUUUAAUGCACUUUUCAGUUAACAAGUCAACAUCAAUUUCUUUUGUUGUAAAAGGGUAAGAGGAAGGUGGCUUGCGCUUCGGCUCAAGUGUUUAUAGCCUUUUACCUCUGCAAUCGGAGAGAUUGAAGACUGCAGCGUAGACUCCUUUUGGGGUUAGAUACGUUUGUGCUAAGUUAUAGCCUUGUAUAGACAACUUGUUGACUAUACUCAGUCAUGUAGCUUACUCGCAUGAUAGCUAUUUUACCUACGCUUAGGAUGUUGAUGUGAUACUGCGAGCA